CCGAGCAACAGCUAAGGUAGUUUGACUCCGUGGCUACAGGACGAACGCUGGCGGCACGCCUAACACAUGCAAGUCGAACGGAGAUAUUUUGGUUUACUGAGAUAUCUUAGUGGCGGACGGGUGAGUAACACGUGAGCAACCUGCCUUUGAGAGGGGGAUAGCUUCUGGAAACGGAUGGUAAUACCCCAUAACAUACAUUUAUCGCAUGGUGGAUGUAUCAAAGAUUUAUCACUCAAAGAUGGGCUCGCGUCUGAUUAGAUAGUUGGUGAGGUAACGGCUCACCAAGUCGACGAUCAGUAGCCGGACUGAGAGGUUGAACGGCCACAUUGGGACUGAGACACGGCCCAGACUCCUACGGGAGGCAGCAGUGGGGAAUAUUGCACAAUGGGGGAAACCCUGAUGCAGCGAUGCCGCGUGGAGGAAGAAGGUUUUCGGAUUGUAAACUCCUGUCUUAAAGGACGAUAAUGACGGUACUUUAGGAGGAAGCUCCGGCUAACUACGUGCC
This 505-nucleotide ribosomal RNA is filed under the name uncultured organism. Its description in RNAcentral is "SSU rRNA". It matches the Rfam family "Bacterial small subunit ribosomal RNA", at positions 1 to 509 of the family's 1533-position model. The record is from RNAcentral.